CGAGAAGAUCACGUGAGGGAAGGAAACCAGGACCGGAAGUGUGAUGGAUGUAGACCGAAAUUGUAUCCCGAAACACUACAAACAUCAGACACAAGCAUACAUUAAAAUGGUUUACAAAUUUACAAAUUUUGUAAACAUAUUUUUUCAUGAUCUUUCAGGUUAAAUAUUUAUAAUUAUCUAUACACAGGUGAGUAUAUUUGCAUACAUGGGAGGGGGUGUCUGAGAAGUAUGAUGCAUUGUAACUUCUCGACAAAGCAGGGUAGAACAAUAAAAAUGGUAACAUGAAAGUUUAUACAUUUAUCUUCACUAGAAGACUAAAGUUUAUUACAGGAUUAACUGUAAUUGACGGGUCUUUUAUUGCAGAGUACAUUUGUCUUGGACAGAUCUACACAUUAUACAGUUAAAUUUGGUGGCUUGUGAAAGUGUCAUUGCCUAACGGUUCCAAGUGAUGUUCUCCUCAGAAAUCAAGAUCUCUUGAAACUGUGUGAACAACGCAGAUAACUUCUGCUACAUUUGUGGUGAGGUUACAUUUGCACCCUAAAAGUGCAGUAUGAUAGUAAAAAAGGCAUAUCACCUAUAGGAGAUAAGGACAGGAGUUGGGACCCUCAUUAUUGUUGCAUUACAUGUGUAACAUAUCUGUGUCUUUGGCUAAUUUCUUACACACGCAUUUAGACUAUUUCCCUUUGAACUAUGGGACAGUGAGUAAUGAACAUGGGAAAAGAUUUCACCAGGAUAUCGCAGGCUUGAAGAAAAGACACCAAGAGAAAUGGAGUCUGUCCAUGCUUGCUGAUCACUGCUGGAAGUAGAUACCGAAUAAAGAUGGAACCUGGUAGUUUUAUAUGAUGUUAAAGCUUAUAUUCUGUAAUUAUCUGGUAUUCACAUUAUAUUUUUGUUAGUUCAAAUGUA
Molecule: long non-coding RNA, 906 nt
Organism: Silurus meridionalis
Lineage: Eukaryota; Metazoa; Chordata; Actinopteri; Siluriformes; Siluridae
Exons: 2
Source: RefSeq, a predicted model, not a curated record